GGACAGAUGGGAGCUUGCUCCCUGAUGUUAGCGGCGGACGGGUGAGUAACACGUGGGUAACCUGCCUGUAAGACUGGGAUAACUCCGGGAAACCGGGGCUAAUACCGGAUGCUUGAUUGAACCGCAUGGUUCAAUUAUAAAAGGUGGCUUUUAGCUACCACUUACAGAUGGACCCGCGGCGCAUUAGCUAGUUGGUGAGGUAACGGCUCACCAAGGCGACGAUGCGUAGCCGACCUGAGAGGGUGAUCGGCCACACUGGGACUGAGACACGGCCCAGACUCCUACGGGAGGCAGCAGUAGGGAAUCUUCCGCAAUGGACGAAAGUCUGACGGAGCAACGCCGCGUGAGUGAUGAAGGUUUUCGGAUCGUAAAACUCUGUUGUUAGGGAAGAACAAGUACCGUUCGAAUAGGGCGGUACCUUGACGGUACCUAACCAGAAAGCCACGGCUAACUACGUGCCAGCAGCCGCGGUAAUACGUAGGUGGCAAGCGUUGUCCGGAAUUAUUGGGCGUAAAGCGCGCGCAGGCGGUUUCUUAAGUCUGAUGUGAAAGCCCCCGGCUCAACCGGGGAGGGUCAUUGGAAACUGGGGAACUUGAGUGCAGAAGAGGAGAGUGGAAUUCCACGUGUAGCGGUGAAAUGCGUAGAGAUGUGGAGGAACACCAGUGGCGAAGGCGACUCUCUGGUCUGUAACUGACGCUGAGGCGCGAAAGCGUGGGGAGCGAACAGGAUUAGAUACCCUGGUAGUCCACGCCGUAAACGAUGAGUGCUAAGUGUUAGAGGGUUUCCGCCCUUUAGUGCUGCAGCAAACGCAUUAAGCACUCCGCCUGGGGAGUACGGUCGCAAGACUGAAACUCAAAGGAAUUGACGGGGGCCCGCACAAGCGGUGGAGCAUGUGGUUUAAUUCGAAGCAACGCGAAGAACCUUACCAGGUCUUGACAUCCUCUGACAACCCUAGAGAUAGGGCUUCCCCUUCGGGGGCAGAGUGACAGGUGGUGCAUGGUUGUCGUCAGCUCGUGUCGUGAGAUGUUGGGUUAAGUCCCGCAACGAGCGCAACCCUUGAUCUUAGUUGCCAGCAUUCAGUUGGGCACUCUAAGGUGACUGCCGGUGACAAACCGGAGGAAGGUGGGGAUGACGUCAAAUCAUCAUGCCCCUUAUGACCUGGGCUACACACGUGCUACAAUGGGCAGAACAAAGGGCAGCGAAGCCGCGAGGCUAAGCCAAUCCCACAAAUCUGUUCUCAGUUCGGAUCGCAGUCUGCAACUCGACUGCGUGAAGCUGGAAUCGCUAGUAAUCGCGGAUCAGC
This 1303-nucleotide ribosomal RNA is filed under the name Bacillus licheniformis. RNAcentral describes it as "bacterial SSU rRNA". It matches the Rfam family "Bacterial small subunit ribosomal RNA", at positions 68 to 1353 of the family's 1533-position model. Lineage: Bacteria; Bacillati; Bacillota; Bacilli; Caryophanales; Bacillaceae. The record is from RNAcentral.